CAGUUAUUGGAUUGACCUAAGAGCCAAGAUUGGUAAGUUUACCUGGACUCAGGAUAACACCGAGCCAAAAUUCAUGCGCUUCGAAACAGGAUAUCCAAAAUCUCCGGAUACUGAUUCGUAUUGUGUUUUUUUAACUCCACAUAAAAAAUGGCACAAUGGAGUUUGUAACAAGAGCAGGCAGUUUGUUUGUGAAAGCAAUUUAUGUUACUGAUAACAUGUGAUGAGAAGCAUUCUGAUGAGUAAUAGAAAUAAAAUUGCAUGCAACAUCAUAA
Long non-coding RNA from Mytilus californianus (California mussel), 272 nucleotides. RefSeq lists it as uncharacterized. The transcript has 3 exons. The record is from RefSeq and is a predicted model, not a curated record. Lineage: Eukaryota; Metazoa; Mollusca; Bivalvia; Mytilida; Mytilidae.